RNAcentral lists this ribosomal RNA (253 nucleotides) under uncultured bacterium. RNAcentral describes it as "partial 16S ribosomal RNA". It matches the Rfam family "Bacterial small subunit ribosomal RNA", at positions 524 to 776 of the family's 1533-position model. The record is from RNAcentral.
UACGUAGGUGGCAAGCGUUGUCCGGAUUUACUGGGCGUAAAGGGUGCGUAGGCGGCGCGGUAAGUCGGGUGUGAAAUCUCGGAGCUUAACUCCGAAACUGCAUUCGAUACUGCCGUACUUGAGGACUGGAGAGGAGACUGGAAUUUACGGUGUAGCGGUGAAAUGCGUAGAUAUCGUAAGGAAGACCAGUGGCGAAGGCGGGUCUCUGGACAGUUCCUGACGCUGAGGCACGAAGGUCAGGGGAGCAAACGGG